GAUUUGAACAUCUUAGAAACUGUUCACUUACACUUUCAUUUAGAUUAGUAAGUCACCAAAACCAAAAUAAUAGUCCCAUAUACUACAUUGUUUCUUUCACUGAUUGCAAUUACAAUGACAUAACAUAUCCCAUACAAAACUGGUCCAUACACCCUCUACCUCCCUAUGUUCAGAAUUUUCGUCACCACCUUCCAUUUUCUGUGAACAGAAUGUGACAUGGUCAAAUAAAAAAUAGUACACAGUAGCUAAACUACACAGCAAAUAAAAUAAGUAAACAAAAAAGACAAAGACAAAGCAAUGACAUGUAUGCAGGUAGUCUAGAUUACUGGGAGGUACUGAGUUUGACAUGGUAGAGUACAGUGUUAAGACUAUGCAAGCAUGGAGGAAAUGUAGAUAUGAGUUUAACUAAUAUUGUUAUAUAUAAGGGAAAAAAAACAAGUAAACAAGAGCAAAAACUACCCAGCACAUAAACUUAGUAAAUGAGCUAAAUGGCAGCAUAACAUCCAACAAAAGGAGCCAUCAUCAGGUAAGAUACUACCAAUAUAAAUAUCCAUACCAAUUUAAUCUUUCUAAAAACACAUCUUGAGAUUUUCUGUAAACUAUCAUGUUUUUUUCUAGUCCAUUUAAAUAGGUUGUAUGCUUAUAUAUCUAUAAUGGAAUUGGAAGAAAACCAAAUGCUAGGCAUCACCAUUGCCAAAACAACUUCCAGACCUAUCGCUAUCGUACUGAGAUUUUGGGGCUACCAUUACCAAAACAACUUCGACCUGUAAUCCACAACUCAACUACAAUUUAUAGUAUGUUCAAAUCCAUAAUCUGAGAUAUAACAUUUGUUACGCAUCAAAACACCCCGUCAAAAGAACUUGCUGGUGACAAAUGCAACUUAAUUAAGACAGAUUGACAACUAGUUAAAUCAUACACAAACUAUAGCUAUCAUGAUAUCAGCACAAACCUAUUUUCCAGGAAUGAUAUUGAUCACUGUUGUGCUAUCAUGAUAUGAUUGUCCCCCCCUUUUUUUUUUUUUUUUAAAUUCUUGUUUCAGAAACUCAAUUACAAAUGCUACAUCCUUAAGAUU
This 1072-nucleotide long non-coding RNA is filed under the name Fragaria vesca (wild strawberry). Its description in RNAcentral is "long non-coding RNA (FVES_LNC005048)". Lineage: Eukaryota; Viridiplantae; Streptophyta; Magnoliopsida; Rosales; Rosaceae. The record is from RNAcentral.